This 187-nucleotide ribozyme is filed under the name Anopheles sinensis. RNAcentral describes it as "drz-agam-2-2 ribozyme". It matches the Rfam family "drz-agam-2-2 ribozyme". Lineage: Eukaryota; Metazoa; Arthropoda; Insecta; Diptera; Culicidae. The record is from Rfam by way of RNAcentral.
UAUAAGAAUUGUUCUGUACGGAGUUGGAUCCGACGCCUCUUGAAGGCUACUACAGACUCUCCUUCUCAACUCCUAAUCAAUACGUCCGCGACGUACUGAACGGUAACUUGUCGCCUAAAUAUCCAAGCUUGGGUACACGGGGAAACCCAUCUUGGGCGGGUUGGGCGGCAAGGCCGAAUUGAGAGGG